AGGAACAAACUUGAUGGGAAUGAUUUAUGCCUGAGUGAUUUUCCUUUGGAUUCAAGUGACAAAACUCAGACUAUGAUGAUUAGACAGAGAGCAUUUACCAACUGAAACAUCACCAUAUAUUAUGUGUUAGAACCAUGCUUCUGGCCUAUUCAGAUACCUUCAGGAACCAUCCACAGAGCAAGCAAUGAAUGGACUCAAAUAUAUUGCUCCAUCUUGGGUCUCUACCAUUGAUCUGUCUACGAUUUCUGUCCCCGUUCAGCAUGAGAGCAGCUUCCCCUGAGUGCAGACUGUCUUGGCUUGAACAAGCUACUUUCUUCUUAUUUUACUUGAGUAAACAUUGUCUGUUAACUUAUA
RNAcentral lists this long non-coding RNA (354 nucleotides) under Rattus norvegicus (Norway rat). RNAcentral's name for it is "long non-coding RNA NONRATT021466". Lineage: Eukaryota; Metazoa; Chordata; Mammalia; Rodentia; Muridae. The record is from RNAcentral.